AAGGAUUGUUGCAAAUUCAUUGGAUGCAAAACCCAGGUGGGUACAAACAAUAAUAAAUUAAAAAAAAUCACAAGAACACCCAAUAGCCAUGCAUGAUUAUGAUUGGGUAGAGGAUCAAAUGAGUAUAGGAUGCCACCUUUCUCUCACGGAUUCUUCAUUCAUUUUUCGGCCAAAAUGGGGAAUUCCAUUUUCAACGAUCAAAAGGAAACUAGAAUUAGUAAAAAAGCAUGCAGGAUCCCAAGCUCAGGCAAUUAAUGCUACAACGGUCACUGCCACCGCAACGCCACCAAUUGAACGUGACCGUUACUCGUCACGUGCAAUCCCCACAGUCACUUCACAUUCAUCUCGUGCCCAUCCCAUCCCCUGAAAACCUUUUACCUCUAGGGUGUAUGUACAUCCAUAGUGUUAAUGAACCUUCCCUCGUAGGGGCAUGGGCUCUCGCCUCUUUCAGUCUUCUCUACCAGUAAUGUCUCCAGAUCCGAAGACCCAACUGGUCCACAUUGUAAAUGUGAGAUUUUUCUGCAAAUAUAGGUGAAAUUUGCUUAACUACAAGUUGAAAUACCAACCCAUUUAGGAAUUUAGUAGUAAACUCAUUUGAUGAUGCUCGAGUUUAACCAAUCACACUAUGAUAUGGACAGGUGGGGAUUAAUUGGUAGUCUGUGUUUUGCGUGGUGAGGGAGGUGGCGGUGGCCAAUCACAUCCUUUAUAGAAGGGUCACUCAAAUGGGCAAAGGAGGUUGCUUUGCCAUGCAAAGGGAGACAAUUAAUAGUAGCACUUAAUGUUUGUGCUUUGAAAUGUGAUAGAUAAGGGUAAUGUAAUUCAAGAUCUAAAGUUGGGAGCUUGUCAAAAAAAAAAAAAAAA
This 861-nucleotide unclassified non-coding RNA is filed under the name Hevea brasiliensis (rubber tree). The record is from RNAcentral. Lineage: Eukaryota; Viridiplantae; Streptophyta; Magnoliopsida; Malpighiales; Euphorbiaceae.